Molecule: ribosomal RNA, 440 nt
Filed under: Staphylococcus aureus
Lineage: Bacteria; Bacillati; Bacillota; Bacilli; Caryophanales; Staphylococcaceae
Description: partial 23S ribosomal RNA
Rfam family: Bacterial large subunit ribosomal RNA
Source: RNAcentral
AAUGGUAGGAGAGCGUUCUAAGGGCGUUGAAGCAUGAUCGUAAGGACAUGUGGAGCGCUUAGAAGUGAGAAUGCCGGUGUGAGUAGCGAAAGACGGGUGAGAAUCCCGUCCACCGAUUGACUAAGGUUUCCAGAGGAAGGCUCGUCCGCUCUGGGUUAGUCGGGUCCUAAGCUGAGGCCGACAGGCGUAGGCGAUGGAUAACAGGUUGAUAUUCCUGUACCACCUAUAAUCGUUUUAAUCGAUGGGGGGACGCAGUAGGAUAGGCGAAGCGUGCGAUUGGAUUGCACGUCUAAGCAGUAAGGCUGAGUAUUAGGCAAAUCCGGUACUCGUUAAGGCUGAGCUGUGAUGGGGAGAAGACAUUGUGUCUUCGAGUCGUUGAUUUCACACUGCCGAGAAAAGCCUCUAGAUAGAAAAUAGGUGCCCGUACCGCAAACCGACAC